UACGUAGGUGGCGAGCGUUAUCCGGAAUUACUGGGCGUAAAGCGCACGCAGGUGGCUUCUUAAGUCUGACGUGAAAGCUCCUGGCUUAACUGGGAGAGGUCGUUGGAGACUGGGGGGCUUGAGGCGAUGAGAGGGGUGUGGAAUUCCCGGUGUAGUGGUGGAAUGCGUAGAUAUCGGGAGGAACACCAGUGGCGAAAGCGGCACCCUGGCAUCGGCCUGACGCUCAUGUGCGAAGGCGUGGGGAGCGAACGGGAUUAGAUACCCCGGUAGUCCACGCGGUAAACGAUGAACACUAGGUGUAGGUGGUGUGAAAACUAUCUGUGCCGAAGCCAACGCGUUAAGUGUUCCGCCUGGGGAGUACGGCCGCAAGGCUAAA
Molecule: ribosomal RNA, 376 nt
Filed under: uncultured bacterium
Lineage: Bacteria
Description: bacterial SSU rRNA
Rfam family: Bacterial small subunit ribosomal RNA
Source: RNAcentral